UUUUUUUUUUUUUUUUUUUUUUUUUUUUUUUUUUUUUUAAGAAAUAGAUAGCAAGCUAUCUGCUUCAUUCAUUAAGCAAAAUAAAUUUAGCUUACAAAAUGGAAGCAGCUGGGGCCUCCGAACCGAGCCAAUGGAAAAAGAGAAAACGAGAAAAACCAGGUCUAUGUGACCAAACAGGCAAGGGAAAACAAAAUAUACAAAGGGGAAACAAAGAGCAGAGCACGGGAGAGUAUCAAAGUGUUUCGUUCUAGGCUUCGAUCAAAACGGUGACACGUUUGAGUGCCCGGGAGACAUUGAGAGGCACGUCGCGGAAGCAAAUGUCGUUACGCUCCGUCCAGACAACCCACCAAAUUGCCGCCAACUUGGUUAAAAUUUUUGAUCUCGUUACGACCUCAGGGACGUACGAGGUCUGAGUCCAUAGCUGACGUACAUCCCUCACAUCCGAAUCAGCAGCCACUAGUGCUCCUGCUUUAAAACGAAGAUAUCUGACGACGAUACAGUCGUGAAAUAGGUGGUCACAGGUUUCGGCUAGUAAGACACAGAACCUGCAGUGCUGAUCCACAAGGCAUCCUCGGCGAAGCAGUCUGUCUGCUGUGGGUAAUCUCUUUCGAAGUAGAAUCCAAAUAAAAACUUUGUGCUUGAGCGGGAUUUUGGCUAGUAACAGGUUUCGGCUAGUAACGCGGCUAGUAACAGGUUUUGAAGUAGAAUCCAAAUAAAAACUUUCGACGUAGAAUCCAAACAGGUUUCGGCUAGUAACGCAGCUAGGUUGAUGGCUAAAUAAUACUGGUUUCUUUUAUUAUUCUUUCUUUUAAACAUGAAUAAGACAUCGAGUAUACUAAGGCAGUGUUUGGUUAGGGAAUAGGAAUAGGAAUAGGCUUUUAUCCCCCUUUAUACCCAAACGCUAAUUUUUACUCGAGAAUAGUAGUUCUCGGUUAUCCCUACCAGCACCUCCAUUUUCUAUGUAAAACUAUCUAAAAUUGUUCUUAUUCUCGGAAACAACUCAAUUUUCAUCCAAAUACUAUUUUUCUUAUUCCCAUAUUUGUAUAUAUUCCUGUAAUAGCUAGUUCUUAUUUAUACCCAAACGAAACGGUACCUAAAUGCUAGCAUGUAAUAUAAAAUAUAUAUAGAGCCAGAUACGAAUUUUUUUUAUAAAUAAUCAUAUCAAUUUUUAUAAUUAUAAAGAUAAUUUUUUUAAAAAAAUAAUUAUAAAAAUAGACCUCUAAAUGCAGUGAAUGAUUCACCGCAUUCAUAACUCCUUUUUAUAAGUAAAAAAAGAAUAAAAACGGUGAACCAUUCACCGCUUUUACCAUUGUAGAAAUAUAGAAAGAAGUAAAAAAAAGAAAAAAAGCGGUAAAUGGUGAAUGGUGAACCGUUCACCGUUUUUAUAGGACCAUAAUUACAAAUAAAAAUUUAACAGAUAUAUUUAUAAAAAUUUAACAGAUAUAUUUUUAGAAUAAAAUUUUAGGAGAAGACUCAAGUUUGAAUCCUAAUUGAUUCACAUUUCCAGCUAAGUUUAUUUCUAAAUGAAAUAAACGAAGCGGGUAGCGUGCUACCUAUCUCUCAAAAAAAAAAAAAUUUAGGAGAAGACUAUUGCACUAAAAAACCCGCCAGAUACAAUGACAUUGUUUGCGAAUAUCAGGCUCUGUUUGUUAAUUAGUAGUAUAUAUGGCAUGUUGUGAUUGAAUCUUUAAAUAUAAUAACUUUGUUAGGAUACCCUGGAUCAGAGGCGGCCUCGUUUAUAACUAGGUCAAUUUGAAUUAGAAUGAUAAAAUCAGUCAUAUAUAGCAGGUAUUAGACAAUUUAUUUAUUAAUUAAGCCGCACAAUGUCAUAACCAAAUAGGUUAUGACUUAACAUUGAAACCUUAAAGCUGAAUGAAAGAUGUACAAAUAGAUUCGAAGAUCUCGACUUACGACUUAGUUCUAUACUUGGAUUUCAAUUCGCUAUGCAGUGGAAACUCAAAACCUAUGUGUUGUUUCAGAAGUUAAGAGUUUCAUUUGUUUAUUUGUGUUGUUUCAGAAGUUGAAUGAAGUUGUUUCAGAAGUUGAGUUUCACUUUCAUUCGCUUAUUUCAGUAGAAGCCCAACCGAAAAGCAGACACUUGCAGCAAAGCUGAUUCAACCGGACCCGCUGGGUUACAAGUUUUCUCAGGAAAACAGUUUGAAGAGCAUUAUCAAUUUUCUCUCAUUAUUAAAUUGUCGCCCACAGAUCCCCGUCACAUGACAAGUAGAUAUUGAGUUUCUGAAUUUAAAACUCAAUUAUUUUAGCUUCCAACAACACCAACACCAACACCAACAACAACGAACAAAACUAUCCAAACAAUUUGCAACAAACCAUCCGACUACCAAAAUCUACUAUUUCUUAAACUAGAAAAGCUAUUGUCGAAAUUAGGCCAAACUGAUACUUACUGCAACCGACCCAUGACUCUAAUUUAACUGCCCCCGCAUCAUUAGGAGAAUUAUAUGAAGCAUAGUGGAGAAUACGAUAAAAACAGAUUUGAUGUUCAGUGUACAUACCAGAUGACGGAUGAAAAGGAAUCAUCAACGAAGUCCAAUUUGCCAAUAAUGAAAAAUUUACUAAACCUGAUUACUAUUCACUGAUUGCAUUUGACCAGAUUCAGCGGUUGAUAACACCGACACAACUGUACUGCUGAAUCAGGGGUCAUAGCAUGAAUUUGGCAAUCCAGCACCUGGUGUGCACAAAGGAAAAUAGAUGAGUACAAAUUGCUUACUCCGAAACGCCUCAAGCUGUUCCUUUACAUUUGGCUGAAUUUAACCAAGCUCAAUGAACUUGACACAUGCAUGAUAAAAGUGACUCUAUUAAUGAGACAGCACCAUGCCUGUAAUGCCUAGCGGCGGAAAAUAUUAUGAACUUCACAUCAUUCCAACAGUGUAUACAAGUUUGAGAAUACCAUGAGCUCUUCUAAGGUGGCAAGCUAACAAAGAAUCCAACUUUAUGCACACACGAUAAUAGGAACAGCUCUCCAGAACUAAAAUAGUAGAUCUGGUCCAUUUUGUAUCAUUAUAAUUGUGAAGCCACUACAACUCCUAAUGUAAUAAAAUGUAAAAUAACAAAAUCAACAAGUUGAGACUGGUUGAGCAUUUGCUUUCAUGGCUCUAUAGCAUUCUAAACUGCAAAGCGGAAGCUUCGACUGGGAAUCUCGGUAUUUGUAAGCAUUUGUACACAACGGAGCCGCACAUUUCUCCCUUGGAGGAGGAUAACUGACAAAAUCAAUAAAAAUAAAUUAAUAAGGAUUGAUGCCAAGAUGGUAGAAUGAGAUUGGCAAUAUGAGUGAGGACUAAACAAAUGAAGAAUUCAAUGAGUAGGAGUUUUUCAGACAUUUCAGCAAAAGGUUGGCACCUAACCUGCACUGUUUGGAGUUAAAAAUGCAUGGAAGGCCCACAUUCUCGCCAAAUGUAACAACUUUGCCAGCUGGUCCCAUGACCCAUCUCACGGAAUUUGGUUGUAAUAUCAAAGAUUCAGCAGCUUUCUUCUGAGAAAAUGCACAAGAUUCAAUCAGUACGUGUAUGAUAGAUGCAGAACUGAUAAUAUAAGGGACAAGAAUUGACUUUUUUUUAUAAUCAUCCCCAUCUAAAAGAAAAAAAAAAGGAUUCUUAUUUAGAAUUUUUGUAAUAUUGAAACUUAUAUAUGCAUCACCCCUUAAACUACAUGAUUCCAUCACAUCUAUCCAUUGCUCAAAGGUCAAUGCAGUAAAAUGUAAGUUUAAAACUUCACAGGGGCAUUGUGAAAAUUGUGAUAUGUAUAUGGGGAUUUCCAGCUUCUUAGCCAUAUGUUUACCUGAGCCAAUUCUUCCCGCUCCUUACGAAUCUUUUCCUCCUUUUUCUUCCGACUUGAAUCCUGGCCUAGGAUUUUCCUUAUUGCUUCAGCCUGUAACAUUACACAGUGUAACUUAGUUCAGAUUCCAACGGACACAAACAGGAGAAAGAUUAGCUCAAAAUAAGAAACAAAAGAUCAACCUCUAAUUCCCGAGCUGCCUUCUCAACUUGCAUUCUGCGCCUCUGAGCAGCCUCGGCCUUCCUUGCCUGCUGCUCCACCUCAGAGAGCUUCUCCUUUUGCUCUGUAAACGCAUGUCAAGAUAUAAAGGUUAAGAAAAUAUAUCACUGCAAAACCAUCUACUUGCACAUCACACAUACCCCUGUAAAAAUCUAGGAAAUGGGGUUCCUUAACAAAUGUACCCUUAAUUUGGGAAGUCAUCAAAUUCAUGGUUAGAUAAUUUUUUUUAAAAGGCAAACAUUUUAAGUACAGGGAUAUAUAUGGCAGAAACAAGGUCUUUGAAGGGCAUAUUAAAAUUCAGGUUUUGCAAGGAAUUUUAUGAAAAUAGGUAACUUUACAGGAUUAUAUAGUAGAUAUACUUAAUUACAACAAUAAUAGAUUUAAUUGUAGAGUAUUUGAUUACUUCUUGUUGGAGCAGGUGGUAGGCCAUCAGGAAACUCGAUCAAACCACCGCCAUUGCUCGACUGAAGGGCUCGUUGCCGUGUUGUAAGAGGUUCUGUUCUCACAUCAGCCAAUUGUUCUACAGAUUCUUUUUUGAGUUUCUUCUUCUUAGUAUCAAGACCAUCAUCAGAACCAGGCUCUUCCUCUUGAACAUAAUCUGUUCUGUCCAAUCCUUUCCCCGUGUUCAAUUUCUUCCUACUUUCCUUAUUGGACUGGAUCAAACCGUAAUCCUCAUCCACGCUAUACGCACUUAUCUUACUUCUCUUAGAAGUUUUUUGUUUCUGAAUAUAUCGCAUCUCAUCAUCUUCAUCGUCCUCGUCUAAUGAACCUUCUCGGAUUCGUCGUUUGCGAACCCGUUUGCUUUUUCUAGCAGGUUCAUCUACAGAGGUUCGCUGGUUCUUAUCCUUCUCCUUUUUGUACCUAAUGUCUUCCAUAAUUUUUGCUUGUGAAUCCUCUUUUGCUCCCCGGGAAAGCCUUUUUUCAUUUAAAUUCGUCCGCGAAAGUCCUUGCAUCUCAUCCCCUUUUUCAAGCGGAGGAUCAUCGUCAUCCGACAUUGCCUGCAGCAGAAAUAAGUUCGAUUUACAUGUUUUUUGAAAAAAAGUGAAUCGUUGCCUCGCUGGGCUCUACUCUGCAUUUUUUAAGGCAUUCUAUCACUGAAAGGAUCACUAUAAAGCUACAAUCAUAAUUUGGAACUUCUCUGAGUAACCAACCUUGGGCAAAUUGCAGUGCCUCAAAUUUGCAUUUCAUUUCAAUAAAACCCUUUCCAUUAAAUUGGACCAACGAUUCCAAUAAUUUGCUAUUCUUGAAGUCUAAGUGUCAUAGCAUUUAACAGGUAAUUAUGUGAACAUUCCAUUCAUUUCGAUGGAGAAAGUUAAUGAACAAAAGGUAAGAUUGCAACUUACUCCAAAGGUUAGGAAUCCAACUGACAUAAUUUAAUUCGAGAGCCAAAAUGAAUCUAUACUAAAAAGCCAAGGACCCUCAGGGCAUUUUACCCAACCAGCACUAUAUUCUUAUUUUAUUGCAAAGAACUCUUUCAAUCAUUGUUAAUUGCAUUGCUACUUCACUACAGAGUAAAUUUACAUUCACUUAAUAGGCCUAAAGCUUGAGCACAAGAUGCAUACCAUAUUAUCUCAAAAUUCUAUUUAUCUAACAACUAGGCCAUAAUACAAGCUUUAAAAAUAAUUAUAAUAAGCCAGAGGAUUACCUGAAGAAGCAGCUUUUGACGCUGCCACGAAGCCUCUUUAGAUCUUGGAAACUUCUCCAAAAGAACGCCUCUUCUCUUGCUCUCCAAAUUCGAUUUCGUAUUAAUGGUGCGGGUGACUCCACCAACCCUAAGCGUGACUCUCGUGAGAUUGUUCUCAGCUGAUCCAUUGACCACUCCAACAUUCCGACCUAAAUCCUCACCUUUACCGCUCUUCCUAACAUAGCCAGCAUCAGGUCCCGAACCCACUCCAAUCUUUUCCUUAGUCUUGCACCUCUUUAACUCAGAUUUACUCCCCGCUUUAUCUGAAUUAACUCUAGAAGCAUCGGUUCUAUAGAACGAUUCAAGAGCUCCAAACUUUUUAUCCUCCUUCUUGAAGCUUCUUGGAAUAGAAGAGCUUUCAAUCCUACUGAGAUUAACUUCUUUCCUCCGAGAAGAGGAAUCAUAGCCCGAAAUCUUGCUGGUAUUAUCGGAGGAGGGGGUUGAUGAGGGAGGCGAAAUAUCAGCCUCUGCACCGAACACCGAGGCCGGGCGAGGCCGCCUUGAAUUAAUUGUCCUCCUUUUCUUCGAAACACCGUUAGAAAUAUCAAAUCGUGAUGGCCCCGAUCCUUCCAUUGCAGGAUUAUUGGCUUCAAUAGCAGAAUCAAUUACAAUUAUUCCCUUCUUGCGGAUCUUAUCUGUAGAUUGAGAAAUAUUGGUACAAAAUUAGCUAACCAAGUAGGAGUGAACUAAGAAUUCAUCAAAAUCACAAACCAAAAAAAAAAAAAAAAAAAAAAAAAAAAAACUGUGAGAAAAUUUAAAAGAGAGAAGCAGUUAGGGAUGAUUGAUGAUCCCCAAAUCAGUUUAAACAGAAAAUUUUUAGACGGGAUUAAGAAAAAGACUAUCAAACUCCCGAUUUGAUUCGGAGACAAAUUUUAAUACAUAAAAAAUUAGGGUUGUUACGACGUAACUGAAGAGAUCGAUGAAGAAAACCUAUCCAACAGAGGCAUCCAAAAAAUUAAAAAUUAAAAACGACCAGAACGCAAGAAAUAUCAUGAAAACCGACAUCAAACAGCGAGAAAAGAGAGCCCUAAUCGAUCCAUCAACAAAUUGAAGAUACCUCGCUAGCGACAGAGAAGAGGAGAUGCGAGACGACGCGGACGGCGACGAAGGUUGAGAUCUGAGGCGCCGCGAGAAGCGGGGAAUUGGGGGGAUCGGGAUCGGGAUGGGGAUUGGGAUUUGGGGAAUUAGGGUUAGGGUUAGAAGAGGGGAGAGGAGAGAGUGGGUCUCCGAGUCGGUGUCGUUGGAUUGAGGGGAAAGGGGGGGCCUUGAAGACGAUAACGCCGUGGAUGCUUCCCCCAUUUUGCCCUAAAUCCGCUCUCUCUCUCUCUCUCUCUCUCUCUCUCUCGCUCUCGCCACUUCGCCCACCAGGUGUUUGUAUGCUGUUGUGGUCUACGCGCGCUCCUCUUCGUAGGCUCUUGGGGGAAAUUGCACUGCUAGUCCCUAAACUCUUAAAAUAUUCCAUUCUAGUCCUUUUCAAUAUUUUUUAGACUUAAUUACAAAAGUCCUUUUUGUACCUUAUAUGUUUGUUUCAACAAAAUUGAACUUUUGGUUGAAGUGAACUUUUGGUUGAAGCAGAGUUCAGUAAAAAUUAUUUUUCUCUGCUGUUUAUUCUGUAAUUAUGAAAAUAAAGUUUUAUUAGUUUUGCUAUUUGUUUAGUUAAAAAUAUGAGAUAUAAAAUUAUAAUUUUUAUAUAAAUAAUAAAUAAUGUAACAAAUAAAAUAGUAUAAUUAUAUUUUUAUAUAAUUAAAAUUUAAUUUAAAACAAUUAAAUCAAUUUUUUAUAUAUAAAUUAUAGUAAUAUAAUAAUAAAAUUAUAAAGUAAAAAAUUAUUAAUACUUAAUUAAUCAAAUUUUACCAUAUUUUAAUUAUACAAACUAAAUAAAAAAUAUUAAAACUUAACUAAUCAAUUUUUAUUAUAUUUUAAAUAUGCUAAAAAAAUAAAAGAGUAAUUAAGUAUUAAUAAUUUUUUACUUUAUAAUUUUAUUAUUAUAUUACUAUAAUUUAUGUAUAAAAAAAAUACCUAUAUUAUUUUUAUUUAUUAAAUUAUUUAUUAUCAUACACUUCCUAUCAAACAAACAGCAGAACUAAUGAAACUUCACCUCCACAACUACGAAACAAACAACAGGGAAAAAAUAAUUAAUACUNCCAUAUUUUAAUUAUACAAACUAAAUAAAAAAUAUUAAAACUUAACUAAUCAAUUUUUAUUAUAUUUUAAAUAUGCUAAAAAAAUAAAAGAGUAAUUAGUAUCAUAAUUAAAUAUAUUUAAAUAUAACUAUCUUUACCUAGUAUAUUAUUUUAUUAUUUUUUUCACAUUUUUUCAGCAUAAUUGAUUUCGGUCCAUGAUGAAGUCAAUUACAUCAUUUCAAAUUAAGUCGAGUUUUAACCGUAAUUCUUUUACGACGAACUAAACAACGAAAAUGAUCGUUUAUAGCGAAAACGACUUCCCUCCUUUUCAUUUCACCUCAUUUUCAUCCAAACAAAUAUACCCUUAUACUAUCUAUCAUUAAUCCAUCCAUUAAAAAUGACAUUAAUUAUCCUCUCAUAUUUUACCAUUAUUCUAAAUUUAUCAAAAAAAAAGGUAAAAAUAUUGUUGAAAGUUUGAAAAUUAAAUUAAAUUAAAUUUUUAUUAAAAAAUUAGGAUCUUAAAUAUUGAAAUUAAAUAUUUGAGGACGAAAAUAAAACCUCCCAAUCGAAUUUUGCUCAGGUAGCAUUGGUGGAGAAAUGAUUGCCUAAACCUAGUCCACCAUGGACCACUCCCCUAAGACACAAUCAAGGGUCUCGUGUUACGCAUAAUUGUGAUUAUUCUUAAGGACCUUUUAAUCUCCUCUAGCUCAAAAGCGAACCAACUAAUACAUAGUGGAUAAAAUUGUUAAUGUGGAUCUUUGAUUAGUUGAUCACAUGGAAGGUACAAUAAGGAGAGCUUAGAACUAGAGACAUCAUUUAUUAAGUAAAAAACAUUUAGCACAUAUAUCUGUACUGCUGCAGUAUGUUAGGGUGACGAGCUGCUUCUUUCGCUCUGUUUUCUUUCUUCUUCUGUUUUGAUACAGUUCGUGGACUCGCUUAAACUCCCGAGUCCCGAGCACGGAGAGACGGCAAAGGCCUACAAAUUUUUUAGCACUACCGGACCGGACCGGACCGGACCGGAUCACAUUCAACAACUGGCUCAUUGGCUGUUUACAUUGCUUGAGCUGCAUCACCAAAAACAAGUUCAGCUACAGUUAAUGAAAUGGAACUGGCACAAAUGAAGUAACAAAAUAAGUGGUAUAACUUUAUUCUGGGUCAUUGAGUCUAACACUGAGUAGUUGUUCACUUUGUCCACUGCAGUUUACAGAAAAUAUAUUUUGCAAGUCUCUGAACUCCUUUUUCUCUUGGAUUCAGCGGAAUAAUAUUGCUGUCCUUAGCAGAAAAAUUGGACUUCUUAAGCAUCAUUCAGCAAAAGAUUAGAAGAGCAAUUGAACUAUGUUACAUUAUUAGGUGAGCUGAAGCAGAAUUGUUCAACAUAAAGGUGCUAAAAAGUAAAGUAUAUUUAUUCUGACUUUGUGCUCCUUUCAGAUCUUCUGUGUCCCUUUCAUCAGCAAAGGGCAUUUGACUAUUAAUGAAAGUAGUUGGAAAUUUUCAACAACAAAUUAGAAACAAAUGGUCGGUUAUCGCUUAACAAUGAAAUUUAGGAACAUCCAAAUCAUAACCAAAAUCAAAGUAAGAAAUUAGAGGAGAGGAGAAAAGUAAAACAAACAUUUGUAUUAUAUUUUUGCUGUGUCAUAAUAUGUUUAACUACCAAUUAACAACUGUGGAGUAUAUUUUCCCCAACAACAGGAACAAAAGAAACCAAUCUACAAAUGAAGCAGCAGCUCAUAAACCAUCAUAAUACAUGGCCUCAACUAUAUAUCGGCCAACUCUCCAAGCGGAAUUUACAGAAAAAAGGCAAAAAAAAGGCUAAAAUGCAAAAGGAAAAGCCCUACAAAAUAGAGCUAUUUGCACUAUACCCACUGGACUUUAAAAAGCAUACAUUUAAGCGCCUCAUUGUAUAUAGGCUUUAGCACUUAACCCCCUUCCUAUCAGAUUUUCUGUUUAGGAAUUUUUUUGGUAGCAUUAAAAUAUAACCUGAGAUACCUAUUAUACUCCUUUUAUGGUAGGAAGGACAAUAUCAAGACUCUAUAUGAUGGGAAGGGGGUUUGAGCGGGCGGUGGGCAAAGUGCACCGUGACGCUAUCUUUCAGAGGGUUUCUGCACUUUAGCCAAAAAGGAAUUAAGAAACAUAUAUACUGUGGCUUCUUUUCUUUAAGAUCACCUUAUUACCUUGCAUCCAAUUGGCUCACCGAUAUCUGAUUCAGCGAGAAGGGGGAUUUUGAUGAGGACGUUACGACAGAAGGUGACUCUGAGCUAUUACUUUUAGAACUUGUACCCUUAACGUUAAUAAAAGGAGGCUGAGAUGGAAGAGGGAGUUCUUUUGAUUCGCUGUUAAGCAAUUCCACCACUUUCCACAUCGGUGGCCUUAGAUUUGGCGAUGCCUGUGCACAUAAUAGACCCACUUGGAACACCUUCAGGGCUUGCUCCUCCGGGCACCGUUUUUGAAGGCAAGGGUCAAGAAGUUCGAUUACGGUUUUUGCAUUGAAGUGUUGCCAUAUCUAAUUAUCAGAAAAAUAAAGGAAAUAUGCAAUUAAGUUCAAAUGCCAUAUUUAACCAUCGGUUAAAUGACAUGAUGCCAAUCAGAGAAGAGUGUUACCAAUGACAUAAGAGAAUGGCCUUCAUCUGAUGAAGCCACAGAAUUGUGGUUCUUUCGACCAGUGAUUAUCUCAAGAACAAGUACGCCAUAGCUGUAAAUAUCGGCCUUCUCAGUUAACUGCCCAUGAACAAUGUACUCAGGAGCCAUAUAACCGCUGCAAGAGAUCAAGAUUUUAUAUGUCAGUACAUGUUGAUUCUCGGUUAACCAACCAUGUACAGAGUAUCCUGUAAUGCAAGUAACUAACUACAAGACGGUCCUUGUGUAACCGGCUUCAAGUAACAAUUCACAAUGUGGAUUGAUAAUGUAUACUGAAAAACAAGAGGGUCUUUGACUCACAAAGUUCCAGCUAGGCCUGUACUAAGAUGACUCUGAUCCUCCAUGAAAUUCCUCGCCAACCCGAAAUCUGCAAUCUUGGGCUUAAAUCUCUCAUCCAACAAUAUAUUGCUAGCUUUUAUAUCCCUGUGUAUAAUCCUGAUUUCUGAAGCACUAUGCAGAUACGAUAGCCCCUCCGCCGUUCCAACGAUAAUUUCAAAUCUCCUCUCCCAGUCGAGCAAAUUCUUCUUGAAUGAGUCUAAAUUUUUGUUAAAAAAUAUAUUAAUUGCAUUGACAUUGUAUAAUUAUGUAAAAAUAUAUACAAAACUUACAUGAAUUAUAUCGUGCUAUAAAAGUUUUGAUUUACUUUGAGCAAACCUAACGUAAUUUUAUGAAACCAAAGGGAAUGAAAGGUUAGGUAAUAAAAUCAAAAUUUCUAAAUUCAGGUAGCCAUUUCAAAAUGAGCUUCGCAUAAGGUAUAUACAUUUUUAUUAUCAAUUUCUCUCAUAAAAAAGUUAAAUCAGUGGUAACAAAGCAAUUCAGUAGUACCGAACAAGAAGUUAUCCAAGCUGGUAUUGCAGAGGUACUCAUAGACUAGGAGACUCUCUGGCCCUUCAACGCUGCAGCCGAGAAGCUUAACAAGGUUCUUAUGCUGAACUUGACUUACGAGAGUGACUUCAUUAAAGAACUGAUCGACCCACGGCCUUGUAGUGAAGAACAGCCUCUUUACAGCAAUUUCUCUCCCAUCUGAUAGAACUCCCUAGCAAGAGAAAGUUAAUACCAUUUAAACACCCAAAAUUCCGUUCUUCAUUGCGGAGACAAACAUAUAGGAUCAUGUAGAAAUCAGCAUAUUACAUCCACAAUGAUUUUCAAAGACUAGGGGCCUGUUUGGCCCUGCUAAGCAUUUUUAUUAUCAUCAACAGUUUCGUACUGUGGCAAAACAGAAGCCCUUAUAGAGGCCAGGACAACAGAAACUUUUUCGUCAAACAUGUUUGAUCAUAAUUAUGAAAAGGAAUACCUUAUACACUGAGCCAUACCCGCCUUGGCCGAGCUUGUUGAUUUGAUUGAAGUUAUCUGUUGCUUUUCUCAAAUCUUCAUACUUGAAGCUUAAAUGAGACCCAGAGAUCGACCUAAUAUAUUCCCCUGAGCCAUCCAAAUCUGCAAUUCAUAUCGAAAGAUUUAGCUGUAGAAGUAUGUAAUUUACGAACCUACACAUUCUCUAUGCUAGCAAUUCACUUACCGUCAAUUAAAUCGUCUUUAGAUCUCAUUUUCUUCCAUAUAAUGAUGAUACCAAUAACGGCAAGAACAGCGACAACCGAAGUUAGAGCAACAAUAAUUGUCCGCCGAGCUGCCACAAAGAAAUCGAUACAUCUUCGUUUUAAUAAAAAAACUAUUACUAACAUAGUUUAGAAUGAGAAUCAUCAUCCUUUUCUUUUGUAAUCAGAUACAUGAUAUUACACACAUCAACAAAAAUUUAGUAAACAUCACCGCAUAGCAGAAGAAAAGGGAUAAAAGAGUUGGCAGAAGCAAUCAGUUACUGAAUCAAAAAUUAAAAGAAAAAAAUUAAAAGAAUUUUUUAAAAAAGAAACUUGGAGAAAAAAAGAAGGGCAAUAUAAGCCAAAACUUUGAUUGCGAGUAUAGAUGAACCUCCCAUAGCAUAGGCUAUUUAGGCCAAGUAGGAUAAAUUAGCCCCAAAAAGAAAUAAAUUCCCAUAUCUUUUGGCACCUGAAUUGCUUUACACACUCUAUUGAUAAACCAAAAAAAAAAGAACCCUAUUAAACCACCUUGCAAAAAAAAAGAAAAAACAACAACAACAACAAAAGAAAUCCUUCUAAUUCUGCUAGUUAUUUGAACCUCAAAUACUACCAAAAAUCUUAAUAUUUUCUUCAAAAAAAAAAAACUAAAAAAGCUUGCAUCUUUAUGCACUAAUUGCAUCAAUCAACAACGAAAUCUUCCAAAAAGAUAAAUUUUUAGUAAAAAAAAAAGAAGAAGAAAUACCCGAAGAUCCACCACCGCUGGAUGAAGCCGCCAAGUAGAAGGGUUCCGUGGAGUACCUGACGAAGCACCCCGCAUUGAGAGCCUUCCCAUCGGUGGCGGGCAAGCACUUCACGGCGCUCGCCCUGGCGCUCUCCAAGCACUCCCUGCACCCGCUCGCGUUCAGCGACCUCCAACACUGCGCCAUCCCGUACACCGACACGCCCGCCGCCACGCUGGCGCUCCCCACCUGGUAAAACUUCGUCUGGUUCAGCGCCCCCGCCGUUAAGUUCGCGACCAACCUGGUCGCCGCGUCGUUGAACGCCGAAGAGUUCGUUGAGGCAUUUCCGCAAACAGAUGUAUCGUACGCGUCGGUGGCGUCCGCAGAGACGUUGUGGUCGGCGUAGCGGAGGAAGCAGCCGUCGAGGUAUAUGCGGGAGUCCGUGGCGGGGAGGCAGUGCGGGAGCUUGAGGCGGCUCUGGAAGUAGCAAAUUUGGCAGCUUGUGGGGGCGAGGUAGCCGAAGCACUGUCCGAGGCCGUACACCGUGUUCGCGCCGCCCGAGACCGCGGCGCCGAAGCCGCUCUCGGUGAUGUUCUGGAAGAUCAUCUCCAUCGUGGUCACGAAGUUCACGUCGAAUGCCUCCGGGUCCUGGGUUUGGUUGCGGCCGCAUAUGGUGUCGAAUAUGGUCGGCGUCGUGUCCCCCGCCGCCGCGGCGACGAAGAGGACGAGGACGAGGAAGAGGAUGAGGAGGUGAAGGUGCGUGGAGGAGGAAGAAUGGGAGGGUUUCAUUGGAAUCGCGUUUGGGGGAAGCGACUAAUGCGGUGGGUGGGGAGUGAUAAAAAAAUGGAAGCUUUAGAGGCGCAUUUUGGAGAAGCUGUGGAGAGAGGUGAGAGGAAGAAGAAGAAGCGGAGGGAGAAAGCAGGGUGGGUAGGAAAUCGGGCUUGAGUUAUCCGAUAAUUACAUUCCGUGCCAUCGAGUUGGUGUGGACUGUGGACAGUGGAAUGCGGACGGUCUACGGAAUACAGCCGCUGUCUCCCGUGCAAUGACGUGCUCUCACGGGAAAAGCUUAGGUCUUUGGUGGACAUGGUCUACCGUGUCAUCCGUGCACCGGACGACUAAUUAAGUCUCUAAUUAUUUUAUACUGCUGUUUAUGCCAGGAUCAGAAAUUAUUUUUGAGUAAUAAAAAAUUAUUGACAUAUAGUAUGAUACAGGCUUUAAUUGUAUUAAAUUUACAUAUCAAAAUUUGAUUUAUGUAUUGCAUGAUAAUAAUAAAAUGCAUAUAAUUCUAAAUAUUUAAUAAAUAAUUAAAAUUGAAAUAGAAGCAUCACAAAUUAGAUAAAAAAAUAUAUUAUUAUUCUUAUAUAUGUCGAAUAGAAGUAUCGCCGUGCAAAAGCCAAUAAAAAAAAAAUAAAAGCUUGGUGUAUUACAUUAUACGCAUCCAAUUGUCCCUUAUAUGUAAAAAAAAAUCUCCAAGUAAUAAAUUAUAAAUAUAUUUAUAUUAAAUUGGGAAUUUUGGAGCACAUCAUCUACCACCUUGUGUGUUUGAAAAUGGCUCCAAUUAUUUGAAAAGACCUUCUUGUUUUCUUUAGAGAAAUUGGUCUGAGAUGUGAUGCUUUUAAAAACAUUAUUAUAUUUGUAUCUUUCCAUAUGAGGAGUCCAUAUCAAAUCUGCAAUAUCGAAGUCCAUAUCAAAUAUGCAAAGACCACCGAAAGAUUAAUUUGUCACGAAACUAUUUUUUACAAUAAAAAUAUUUUACAUUGCGUACGAGAAAAUCUAGAGGAUAUGACAAAAAGGUAAGUUCAACAUAAAAAGUCAAAAUUCUCUCCCACGUGUUAUGAGUGAAAAUACCAAAACGAAACUCCAAAAUUCAUCAAUUUAUAAAAGGAGGGUACACAAACAUCCCAUAAACAAAGUUUUUUCAAUUUUUUUAAAAUAAUUUCUUAUUGUUGUGAAUUACAAAAUUAGUAGAUCUUAAGAUUUUUCUCAUCAUCUUUAGCUUGUUAACUAACCACAUAACAUAUUAUCUUGUCUUCAAAAAUUUGCAAAUAUGCUCGACUUUAUUAUUUUUUAACUUCGGAUCGAUUUGAGUUGAGAUAUUAUCUGAACAGACCAAUUAAUCUGCAGUAUUUACACUCUUACAAGUAUAGUAUCCCAAUCUUAAUCAAUUUGUAAUAGGUGUCGAAAUCGAAUUGGAUUGGUCAAUUUUGGACAUUUUGAAAAACAAAUUCGAGUCCAAAAUAAUUUGGACACUCUCCUUCUUAUUACGCCCCGAAAAUAGACCUUUUUUAAAUUUCUUCCAAAUCGGAUUUUGGCUAUUUUCUAAAAAAGUCUCUCUCAUUUACCGGUGGUGAUGAUACGGAAACUUUAUGGACCAAACGUAUCUUCUAGUCUUUAGAUUCUCGUCAUUUUGGUUUUGUCCAAAAAUAAAAAAAUCAAAACCACAUUAGGGUGUGUUUGGAUUCUUAUAAAAAUUUCUGAAAAAAAUGGUCAAGGAAAAAAAAAAAAUCUAUAUUUGAUUGCUCGCAAAAAAAAUUUUCUAAAAUUUUUUUUUAUAGUUUUCAAAUAAAUUGGCGCUUUCGUUUUCCGCUUUGUCUGAACAAAAAACAAAACUUGGAUCUGAAAAAAAAAAAAAAGAAAGAAAAGAAAAAAAAAAAGAAAAACAGCUCACAGGUGCUUUAGCAUGUGGUCCGUGAAGUGUACUUCAUCUUGUGGACCGCACGAGAGAGUCCAUCCUUAGACCUACUCUCUCUCUCUCUCAUUCAUUAUAUAAUAUAUAUAUAUAUAUAUAUAUAUAUAUAUAUAUAUAUAUAUAUAUAUAUAUAAUAUUUUAUUUAUAAAUAUUAUUUAUAAAUAUAUAGUAAUUUAUCUUAUAGUAUUAAAUAUAUAUACUAUCAUAUAUUAUAUUAUAUACUUAUUUUAUAAUAUAUUUUAAUGUAUUUUUUAUAAAUAUAAAUUAUAAUACUAAUAUAUUAUAAUAUGUUAAUUAUUAUAUAUUAAUAAUAUAUAAUAAUAUAGAGUUUCUAUUUAUAAUUUUUUUUCUUUCAACCAAAUAAUUGAAAUUUAUCUUCCUAUAAAUUAAACAUUACAGAGUGUAAAAUUAUCUUCCUCCGAAAUUUUUGUUUCGCCGAAUAUUUUUUUUUCAAAAUUUACCGUGGAACCAAAUACGCCCUUAGCUUUAGUCCAAUUAUAAUUGAUCACGUGAUCUUUAAUAGAAUUUUCCGCGGCAUUAGCAUGUCAUCAACCCAAUUGUUAGUCAAUGUUAGGAGAGAAAAAGAACAGUCCGAUCAGUUUUAUGCUUAACAUUCUAAUUAUUUUUCAGGGGUUUCUAUAGCAUUUGAUACAUGAUUUUUUUCAUUUUUUUUUGUCAUAUUUCAUGAGUUUCUAUAUAUAUAUAUAUAUAUAUAUAUAGAGAGAGAGAGAGAGAGAGAGAGAGAGAGAGAGAGAGAGAGAGAGAGAUUUUUUAAAACUGUAAUAGAAAUUUAACCCGAGUUUAAUUGAAAAUAAUUUAACGGGCACUAACAGCGAAAGUAUUUUUGAAUAAUAAAAAAAUAUACUUAUUUAAGUAUAUUUGAAACAAAAGAAAAAGUAAACGUACUUCAGAUAUUCUAGAAGCUUUUAGGGGCAUAUUUGAUAUCAUCCCUUAAUUACAUUAUCUUCGGGUGGCAAUUAGAUUAAUUGGAGAUGGUAGUCACUUUCUCCCCGCUGGCGCUGUUAUUGACGUCAACAAUGAUUGAUCAAGCAUGCAUAAUCUCCAAAUAAAUUAAGGUUUAGUAGUAAUUCAAAACUUCCACAAAAAAAAAAAAAAAAUUGGAAUCAAGCUCUGCUUGACUAAUAGAAUAACUCAAAAUUAUUCAAUUUAAACACGCCAACAAAUCAGAUUAUUCAAUAAUAACUUAAUCGGGCGAGGCAGCAAGCAACCGCGCAUGCCAAUAAAAAAAAUAAUAGUAUUAUUAGAUCAAAAAAGAGUUACAAAGUAAACAUAUACGUGCUUCUUCGAUCUCUGAUGCAAUUAUAUAAAUUAUGUCAUUGUUGAAUAAAUGUAAUCUAUGAAAUGUGCAAUUCCUUGUGAAAAGGAAAUUAAGCUUAAUGCACAUUUUCUAUAAUAAUUAUUAUAUAUUAACUUAUUGAAAUACUUUAUUGGGUCAUAUUUGGAUUUCCUUGAAAAAUAGUAUAGUUAUACUAUAGUAUAUCAGUAAGAAAAUUAUCUCAUGAAGCAUUUGUGAGAAAAAAAAAUUGACGUAAUUUUUGAAAUAUAAUUAUACUAUACUUUAAAAAAUAAUGUAAAAUUAUAAUCUACUCUAAGCUACUCUCUUGUAGUUUAUUUUAUUGACUUGAAAACUCGAAGUUCAUACAUCAACUACUCAUCCAACGCAAAAGCAAAUCUAUUUCUUCUAUUACAUUAAAGGAGGGUUGGGGGAACCUUAGGUUGACACCUGUCCCCCAACCCUCCACUUCAUUCUCUCUCUCCACACACACACACACACACACACAUAUAUAUAUAUAUAUAAUUAGUUAAUUUUAUUAAUAAAUUAUAUAACAGCUUAUUAGUAAUUAAAUUUUGAUAUGAAAAUUUAAAGUUUUGAUACUUUAAAAUUUUAAAUUUUAAAUUCUAAAUUGAAAAUUUUAAAUUCUAAAUUCUAAUUUUAACUUAUAAUAUUCAUAAUUUUAAUUUUAAAUUCUAAAUUAUAAUAAUUAAUUAAAUUAUAAUAUAAUUAAUUAAUUUUAUUAAUAAUACGCAUAAUAAAUCACGUAAUAAAAUCUAACCUGAUAGAUACAAUUUAAAUCACGUAAAAUAUCGUUGUAUAAAAAAAAUAUAGUAUUUAAAUUUUAGGAGUAAAAUUUUAGAAAUAUAGUGUAUUUCUGUGUAUAUAUAAUUAAUUUUAUUAAACAAUUUCAUUUACAAUUUUAUUUUCCUUCUAUUUAUUGAUUUUUUAAAAUUAUUUUGAUAUAUUUAUCUCAAAUCCUUUUCAUAUGUAUCUUUAUAAAAUAAAUUAUUAUAUAAAUUUACUUUGCGCAUAUAUCAAUUUUAAUGACUUUUAUUUAAAUAGAUUUAACUACUAAAUUAUUUUUAUGUAAUUUUUGUUUAAUUAAUAAUUAGACUUAUAAAACUAUAUAAAAAUAUUAAAAAAAUAAAAUUUAUUAUAAAAAUAAUUUUAUAUCCGCAGCAUCGCGCAGGUAAUUCACUAGUGUGUAACAUUAGACUAGGGAGCGUUGACUUGGUCAACUUUUUGGUCUCCCACUGUGUGCUAUAUAUGUGGACAGGAAUGUUUCAUUGUUUUCAAUAAGUCGCUUUUUAUUACGCUGAUCUAAUUAAACCUGGGGAACAAAUUCGUAAUAACAAUAAGGAUCUAAAUGUAACUAAGCUUAUUAAUUAUAUAUCAUUGUGACAUCGACUGUAUUAUUGAGUACAAUGCAAUAGUAAUUAUAUAGGGUUAAUUACGACAAAUAAGUUUGUAAACGUUUGGCAAAUUCAUUAAGUCUGAAUGUGACUGGAAUUAUUCUUUUUAUGAAUAUUCAUGGACAAAAUACACCCAGCUAAGUAAAUUUACAGUAAAUAAGUAAAAUUACUUCUUUAUCACUACCCUAUUUAAUAGGGAUGCAAAUGGAUCUUGGUUGGUGGAGCUUCCACCCCAACCCGCCCCAAAUGGGGAAGUAAGAAUAAAAAAGAUAGAAAAAUAUAAUCUUCUCUGAAACCGUCCCGAUUCGCUAAGUAAAUGAGCGGGAGGCGGAAGACCCUUUUUAUUCCUUCAAUCUAUCCCGAUUCAUCGAAAAUCCGCGAAAAAUCCGCUCCCGCCCUGAAUGUGGCAGUAAAUGAGAGUUAAAAAUAAAAUAAAAAAUAACCUGCCACGAAUCCGUCCCGUCCCGACAAGAAAUGGAGCGGGAGGUGAAAAAAUCCUCCCGCUUCCUAAUCCGUCCCAUUUGCAUCCCUACUAUUGAGUAACAAUAGAAGGAAAGAGGAAUUUGAAGAUAUGAUACAAUAGUUGUCCCAUAAAUAUAACAAGAUGCACAAAUAGAGAGAGAAUAUAUAUUCCACAAUAGAGUUUCUAAAUCAAUAAUUCUAUCUAUUAAUGAUCUACUCUAUUUGUGGUAUCUAAAAAUAAAAAUUCAUUAUUUUGUAAAGAUUACAAGGAAGUCUAAUAAAUAGAUAGGCAUAAAUUGAAACGUCAAAACUAAACGAUAUUUAAAAAAUAGAGGAUCGAGUUCUUCGAUUUAAGAGUAGAGUUAUUGAUUUCGAUCCAUAUAAUGAAUAAAAUUUUCUAUAAAAAUAUAACAAAUUUUGAUUUUUCUAGAGUGUUAGAUUAAAAAAACAUCCACAUGCACUGUUAAAAUUUGUCAAUUCUAUGGCUUUCUAAUUGCAAAGUAUAUAACGCCAAUAAAAUCAUUAAAUUUGAUCUAUAAAAUAUUUGUAUGCAUUAAAUUAUAUUUAACGAUAUGUACCGUCAAUUAAAAAAAAUUAUUUUUAAAAAUGAUAUAUAAAUACAAUCCAUAUAUAUAUAUAUAGAGAGAGAGAGAGAGAGAGAGAGAGAGAGGGGUAGGGAAUCCCAUUGGGGGUGCUUUAAUUAGGAGCACCGAAAUGUUGGUAUUAGUACAGUGUUUUUGAUCAUUAGAUCAAUCAUAGCAGCUCUUGGAUUGAUCGUACAUAAUAAUAGAUCACACAGUAAUCACUUUUAUUGACUUUUAAUUCAGUGGCCGAAAGAAUAAAUCUAAAAAUUUGAAAAAUAUAGACAUCAAAUGUUCGUGCAUUUAGAAAUAUUUUUUUUAUAUAAACUGAGACAGAGGAAUUGAAGAUGCGACAUUGCCAUAUUGGUAAUUUGGUAUUGCACAGCAGCUCAAUGUCUCAUAAAUGGGCCCCCAAAAGCACUUUAUUAUCGCUGUGAAGUGUGAACUCAUGUGCCAAUUGAAGACCCGACCCACCCACUACUUACGGGACACGCGUUACGGAGAGUAGGUAUGCAGUGUUAAUGAGCCCAACAUUUACGCACUUCAAGUUUUUUAAGGUUGAUUGCGAUUUAAAGUGGUGGCAUUCGGUAGGUUUCGACGCCUUAUUGCUCGAUGCACGCCCAAUAAAUGCGCGACAAUGGACGAGCAAAUGUAAAGUCAAAUUUAGUAGGUUUUAGUUCGUAUUUUGGUUGCCAUUUGAGAGUGAUCACAACGACGUAUACCUCGCAGAAGAAAAAGAAGAUGAAGUAGUACUAUUUCUGAAACAUUACAUCUCCUGAUAACUCCAGUUUAGAAUUAAUAAAUAAAUAAGUAGUAGUUUAGCUGAUUCGAUAAAGAAUUUCCAUGGAGUCACUGUCAUUAAUUGUCUCCAUUAAAGUCGGCCGCCACCGCCAUCCUCUAUUGUCUACCAUUGCUGUCGUCAUCUCCCGUGUAAAACUCAAAAGUAAUGUAGUGACUGUGCUUAAUGCUGGUGGUUAAAGCGCUGAAUAGUUGACACAUGAUGCAACUAUUUGACUCACUAGCAAUAAUAAUUUGUUGGUGGGUCAGGUAAUUAUAAUUAGUAUCAGAACUGAAUAUCAGCAGGAAGUGUAAGAGUUACGUACUAUGUGGGAUAAAGUGCCACACCAACGAAUUUGGUGGGAGCCACUUCUGAAAUCUCACAUUACCAGUAAUUCUAUCCUGUAUCUGUGAUUUGGUUUAAAUUCAACAAGAACGUCAUGAUCUAAACAUGAAAAGUUUGUAAUACCACAAUAAUACCAUAUCGGAUGAAAAAAUGAGAAUAUAUAAGACCUAAACGCUAGUAAUAAAAAUCGAGUUUAAGUAUUUUAGGCCAAUGGUUUGAGUCUAACAAGUUAUUAUUGUUAGAAUGUCUGGCCGUUACACCUGAAAUCUCAAGUUCAAAGUCCAAUAGCUUUAUAUUUUUAGCUAACUUAAUUAUUUUUAAAUAAACCCUCUCAAAUAUAGCCACUUGAGCAAGUAUAGCCACUCGAGUUACUCAAGUUCCUUAUCUAGGAUUUGAUAUUGCACUAAUACUAUGCCUGUACCAAUCACGCAAUUGGCUCGUUGUGAUUAUUUUUUAAAAUUUAUAGUGAUUUGGAUGCCAAUGCUUCAUCAAUUUAAUCAAAAUGGUUUAUGAACUUAAGGAAACUUGCCUAAUCAAGUCUCUCACACCAAAUCGUAAUUAUUUUGCAAAGAAUAACGCUUUCCAAAAAAACGCUAUAUUUCUAAAACUUAUGGGUCUGUUUUGUCUAAAUUGUGAUAUUUAAAGGAGGGUUUAUGUCCGAGAAUCCGAAAAAAGCUGAACCACUAAAUUAAUUAUCAUAUUUAUUUAUUAUCAUUUUUUAAUUCAAUUACAAUGCAGUGGCCCAACAAGUGUCUUAGCCCAAAACAAAUUUGGGCCCAUGAAAUAAUGAGCCUACGAAAUCAUUAAUGGGCCUCAAUUAUAAAAGUUUCGGCCCAUUUAUUUUUCACCAAGCCCAUUGUCUUUUUCGAAGCAUCGAGAAGGGGAGAGAGAGAGAGAGAGAAAGAGAGAGAGAGAGAGAGAGAGAGGUCGUCCCGCGCCAUUGCUUCGUCUUCAUCUCCCUCUACAUCUUUCUCUCUGUUAAGCCUCUUCUCUUAUCCCUCAUCGGUCUCCUCCGAUUCCUCUCCUCUUGAUCAAUUUCUCUUUUAUUUGUUUAUUUAAUUGCUGUUUGUAGUUGCUCUCCGUAAUCCAUGUCCUCGAGUAAGCCCGAUCGAGAUCGGUCCCUGGUAAAACCCUACUUCGAACUAUUCUUUUUUUAUUUUGAUUUUUUUAAAAAACUUUUCUGAUGAGUUAUGAUUUCAAUUUUAAGCAUGCCGAUAAAGAGAUUUGUGAGGUUAGGUAAUUUAUUAUGUAUAUUUUUUAUUUUUUAUUUUUGUUUGAAGGAGGUUGAAGGGUUUUUGAACGAACUACAGGGAUGGAACAACUUGUUCAAGGAUAAAAAUCAGAAAUUGAAAACUCAGGCACGCAACGACAGUUACUUCGUUUUUUUUCCCUUGAUUUUUGUUUAUUUUUUGUUUUCUUUAACUCACUCAACUUUUCAAUUUCCAAGUAAUGUGUGCACUUACGUUUGUUGUAAUUUGAAUGAGAUAUGACAUCAGGAGAUUCUUUUUUAAUUCUUAUGACUUACAUGCUUGGUGCUCAAAAUCGAGACGUAUUGCAUAAUUGGCUUAGGAUGCUACAACAAGAUGUGAAUUAACUCUAUAGCGUUUUGCUUGCAAAGAGAUUUUUCUAUCAGAACAUGCACUGCUGCACCGGUAUCCAUGCGUGAAAAUGCUUUUACUUCACGAAAGGCUGAUUUUUGUUAUUCUUUGUCAACAGUACAGGGAAUGUUACUAUUCUUAUGGUUAUUCCGAGAGUAAUUUGCUGUUGUUCUCUUUGAAGGGGUCUUUACAAAACUCUGGAAAGAGUCAAGAAGAAAAAGGACCUCCUAAAAAAGUUCCUGCAGUUGAAUCGAACACUAAGAGUAAUGUAGCUUCUGAUUUUCCUGCAAAAAAUCCCAACGAACGAUAUAACUACUCGAAGUAUUCUGCUUUUUUGAAUGAGGAGACAUUACCUGAUGCAACCUCAGAGAAAGAGCUGGUGAGGAUUUGUAGCCUCUGAUUGUUAGUUUUUAUGUACAUUAUACGAAUCUUCUGGUGGUAAAUUGGCUUCUUUUACCAUUUCUUUUAUUGCAGGGAAAUGAGUAUUUUAAACAAAAAAAAUUUGCUGAAGCAAUUGAUUGCUACUCGCGAAGUAUUGCAUUGUCUCCCACAUCCGUUGCUUUUGCCAAUAGAGCUAUGGCAUAUCUCAAACUCAGGAGGCAUGUUGCUUUAUGGCAAUCCCUUGUUUGUAAUCAGUAAAUUUUGAAUUUAGGUGAUUGAUCUUUUUCCGAUGUAAAUUAUACUUUUAUUUAUUAGAUUUAUUCUUGUUUAUUAGAUUGGAGGAGGCGGAGAAUGACUGCACUGAAGCCUUGAAUUUGGAUGAUCGCUAUGUUAAAGCAUACUCACGUCGAGCAACAGCUAGGAAAGAACUUGGCAAACUUAAGCAAUCAAUGGAAGGUAUUCCAUUUCUCAUUCUUAACAAUAUCUUAUAUUUUGAAGCUCAAUUUUUGUAGAUUAACUUUACCAUUUUCGGAAAUACUGAUAACUAAUUUCUAUGUGUAGAUUCUGAAUUUGCCAUAAGACUUGAGCCUAACAAUCAAGAGCUCAAGAAGCAGUAUGCUGAAACAAAAGCUUUGUAUGACCAGGUGAUUGUCUGUCAUUUCCAGUGGAACCAUCCGAGUUGAUUUUAUCAGAUUUUAUUAAUAUAAGUAUCUCAAAAAAAGGGGAAUCAUUGUACUCAUUUCAUCAUUUCUUAAGUGUUGGUGUUGGCCAAUAUACCUUUUAAAAGAACGAGCUAAUUUAGCGACAGAGAGAUAUAACAGUUGUGCUGCUAUUACUAUCAUAUAUGCGUAUAUUGUCAUUUGAGUUAAUCAUGAAUAUCAUACAUUUGUUGAUCAAGGUAGAAACAACUAUCUUUUCUUGCGUCCAAUAUUGUAGUUUAAGUAUUUCUGUAUCAAUUGUGUUGUUGGUUUAUAAUGUCAACUUUAUUGAUGCAGGAAAUGGCCAAGAAGGUUUCUCAAUCCUUAAAGCCUUCUGUUUCGGAAAUUCAAAAAGCAGACAAUUUAGCCACAUAUAAGGCCCAAAAGACAGCUGCGACUGCAAAAAAAACUGUCAACAUGGUAGCUUUGAAAUGAUCUCUACAGUUUGUUCAUAUGAGUUCUAAAAUUGAUGCCUGUAAUAUGUGUUCUCUAUCACGAGUAAUUAAUGAAAUGCAUCAAAGGAAACUGACUUAAGUAAGAUAAUAUGGGUAAACUUUGCGUGUCUGUUGACUUUCAUAUUGCAGCUUUAAGGAAUAUAAGAGACUAUUUUCUCUUUUAUUUGCUUAUGAGAUUAAUUGAAUUUACAUGCCUUUUUCAGAACAGCAGCAUGGAAAUUGAUGAUUCGCCUUUGGUUGCUGUAAAUGAUACAGAAAGAGAAGCUUCAAAAGCUCCUGCAGAAACCAGAGAGAAUUUAUUUGAUAGAUCAAAAGGAGGCGGAUCGAGUUCCGCAGAUGCUAGUAUGAAGGUGUACACCAGGGACUUUUUUUUUUUCCCCCCUUCAUAUAUAAAGGAUAAAAGAAAUCUCUGAUUCUUUAUUGGGAUUACUAUUUCUUCUUCAAGCAAAAUAUAAUAUUUGAAGAUCACCUAUUGUAGAUGGAGACAUCUAAAAUUAAUGAAUCUUAACAGAAUUUUAGACAACUUAAAGCACAGAAAACCUAAGGCACGAGGGAAUAUCUUUUCAAAAGUAUUUCAAAUAUUCUUUAUUGACCUUUAAGAUGUUAGAUCAUGGCUAACUGUCUCACUUUCAAGUUUCUUGCACACCAUUAUGUCGCCAUAUUAUUUGCUGUCAGCUAGCCGGAGUGAAAUAAUACUAUGAUUUUGUUUAGUUGCACCAGAAUUGUAAAGUCGCAAAGCAUUCACUCUUAUUUCUCAUCCGGUAAAUUUUGUUUUAUAUUUAGGGGGGAAAAAGUCCCUAUACUUUAUGGUGCUUUUUCUAAUAUUGAAUUAUGCAAGCAGGGGACUCGGGUUUCUAGUCGGAAAGACGAGUUAAAACCAUCAAUGCAGGAUCUUGCAUCUCGUGCUUCUUCAUUAGCUUUGGCUAAUUCUUCUAAAAGUAUCACUGCUCCAAAAUCAGCUUAUGAAUUCGAGGUUUCCUGGAGGGCACUCUCUGAUGACUGUGGUCAGCAAGCUCAGCUGUUGAAGGUUUGCAUAUUAGCCUUUUAUGUGCUUUGUGGGUAAUUUUAAUUAGAAAGCACCCUCAAUUCGUUCCCUGUUUCAACUUUGGACCAGGCAAUCCCACCAUCUACUCUACCUCAAAUAUUUAAAAAUGCACUUUCCGCACCCAUUCUGAUAGAUAUCAUCAAAUGCACUGCCACAUUUUUUAGGUAUGCCUUUUAUGCUCUAUUCUGCUAUAUUAUAAAAGUUCACUUACUGUAGUUUUAUUUACAUGUAUAUCGCUGUUCAAUAUGAAUUUUCUCUCUACCCUACAAGAUUGCAGUUUUUUCACGGAAGUACCCUUAAAUUGGGGAAUCAUCCAAUUCAUGGAAAAAUUUGUUAUCGUAUUAGAAACAGUUUUUAAUAGAGGGACAUUUCUAUCAUUAUAAGAGUAUCUAUUUAGAAAUUAAGUUAUUGAAAAGAGUUGGGUUUUUUUGUAGCUUACACAAAAGUAUUUAUGGGGUGACAAUUUUGCGGGGAUAUAUUUUAUAUGCCUAUAAUGUACUUGCAUAUUAACCUCUCUUUUUUUUUUUUUGGUAUGUAGGGAGGAUACAGAAUUCGCAGUUAGCAUAUUGGAUAAUUUGGUCAAAGUUCCACGUUUUGAUAUGAUAGUCAUGUGCCUUUCAGCUAAGCAGCGAUCUGGUAUGGACUAUGGAACCUUUGUUUUGUUACCUAUUGUUCUUGAGAUGCUGGCUACUUAAUACUUGUUUACACUUUCCAUAUCUGGAUAAUUUGUGAUACAUUGUUAGUGUAUGAAUAUUCUUUCAUAGUUUAUAGUUUUUCUAUUUUAUGUAUAUAAGAUGACAAAUAUUUGAAACAGCAUCAAUUAUGUCAGUUCUGUCGAUGAAUAAAAUAGCAAGUGUAAAUAGCAAUGAGAUAAAGCAUAGUGACCCUUGGAUAAAAACUAUGGAAGAUUUGCUGUGUUCUCAAUAAAAUAAGAAAGAGAGAUAUUUGCUGUGAUCAAUUUUGUAAGCAAAAUUCUUGGAAAAAGGAACAUAGGGCAUAGAAAUAAUGGAGUUGAGUAGUAUAGAGAUGCUUCUCUUCUUGAUAAUGGUGUCAACUAUUAACUCAAAGAGAGUUCUUUAUUGUCAGGAAAGUCAUAGAAAAUGAACUAGCAAAUAUUUUUGUUUGUUUGUCCAUUUAGCUGUAAGAAUUGCUUCACAUAAAACAUUGAAAUAUGUGGCUAAAAUUAAUUUAUGUUUGAUGUAGGUAAAUAUUUCAAUGAAGAGAUUAAUAAAAAAACUUUCUUGAUAUUCAUGUUGUUAGCAGAACUUCGGCGCAUUUGGGAGGAAGUGUUCUCUAUCAAGGACAUAGCAGCACGACAGAUUGAAGCCAUAAAUCGGCUCCGACUGAAAUACUGUGGCGAGGAAUCGUAGGAUCAAAUGUUUAUCAAAUGGAUGGCCCAAAGAAAUGUAGUUGUUCUAUGUAUUAGUUUUUUCGCCUCUUUUUUUUUUUUUUUCGGGGAUUUGGGGUGGGGGGGAGAGGCAGACCUUUUUCGGUCUUUUAAGCCAAUCCAGAAUCUUAUGUGGAAGAGAGGAUUUGAGUUUUGUAUAUUCCUUACUAUGCUGUAUUCUAGUUCAUAUGGUAGUUUAAGGUUAGAAAGGUUCCUUUAUUUGAAGGGGUGAGCUUCUUAACUUUGUUCUCAUUACUAUUCACCAUAAAAUUUUGAAAUCUUUUAAUUUUCUACCUGAGCAUUCAAUUAGCAGUUUGAACUUUUUAUCAAGUCUUUACAAGCUUUGACUGGAUCUCUAAUUUUUUUGAAUCUCUUUUGCAAAAGAAAAAAAAGGAAGAGAGAGAAGUGUCUGAUGGCUUCCUGGUUGCUCCAUGUCCUUUCUCUACAAAGCUCCCUGUCUGUGGUGUUGGCAGCAAGCACAUCAGUAUUUCGAUUGCUUUGUCCUGAAUAUGAGUGUUGCUUACACUAUCCUUGUGUUUGUCUGUUUAUUCUCCCUAUGUUUCUGGUAAGUAACUAUCAAACAAGAUAAACAGAAUGUGCCAUUUUGUAUGCUGUUGUUAUUAUAACCAUCUGUAACCUUAAUUACUAAUUUAUUAUAUCUAAUGAAGCCGCAGUAUUCUUGACUUUGCCGAACUUUGCUUAUUAAUCAUUUUGUCAUCAAGAUGUCAUGCCAGGUAUGUACGUGUAAAUAGAUGAUUUUACAGGGAUACUUUCGUAUGUGAAAGCCGCUCUUUUUGUUACAUGAUUGACUUGCUUUAUCUAGAAUCAAUCGAUCAGGAGGCCCUUUUUAAGCUUUUGUGGGAAGCCAUUAAGUAAACGACAAUAUAAUACCUAUUAUAUUAGUAAGAAACUAUGUCUUAUGUUGUUGAUCUUGUCAUGGAUUCCCCAAGAUUUUUGUCUUUGCUUUCCUUGUUUGAUACCCUUCACAUGUAACUUUUGUCACCAAAGAUCCAUCCUUUGGAUCAUUCAUAUCUCUUAACUCGGUAUAUACAGACCAUUCUCGUACACACUUUAAACUGAUGAUCUUUGAAUCAAGUUUGGUUCCAAGAUGUUGAGUUCUAUAAUCUCAAUCAAUGGCAUCGAUUAUCUUACUGAUCAGGAAAAAUAUCACCUUCUUCAGGAACCCGAAUUUGUCACAGCAGAAGAUGUGGGUGGAUUUGAUGAUCUCUGGUCCAGCUAUGGGUUCUACAAUGAGGGUUGCUUCGAAAAGGGAGCUCCUUUGGUGCUUAAUGAUCAGCAGCUGUUCUCGGACUUUGCGUUCAUGGACGACAUGCAUUUUGAUUCAAUUUCUUCAGCGAUUUCUGUUGCAGCGGAAACAGACCAGCCUGCGUCGAACUCUGAACUUCUGCAGUUGGACGAGAAGAGCACACCGCCUCUUCCCUCAAAAACGUCAGAGCUUUUGAGCAAAUACCAAUUUAAAUUCAAUGCGAGGAGUGGAGAAAAGCCUAAUGAGUCGAUCGAGAGGGGAGGAAGCAAACUGUCGACCGAAGAUUUCAUGCGGAUUGCUGCUUCUUUCUUCAUUCAACUGUCAACACACAAGGAUUGCAAUCCUUUUAUGCUUAAUAAUCAAUUCGGCUUAUCGUUUUCAGGGCUUAGUUCUGCGGAGAUUAUGAAUGUAGAGCUCGCGAUUCUUCUUUUUUCCGCCGCUGAGAAGGUAAGCCAACAGCGAUUCGAUCACGGUACCAAUUUAAUCAAGGAAUGUUACAAACUGUGCUCAAAAACAGGAAAUUCGGUUCAAAGAGUAGUUUACUAUUUCGCAGAUGCACUACAAGAGAGGAUCCACGGGGGAAAGGGUACUGUUGUAAAAGCACAAGAAGUAAUGAAAGCAUUAUUAAGUAAUCACCCGGUUCAUCUAGCUACCUUUAGAAGCCUCCCCCUUGAGCAGAUCAUGCAGUUCACUUCAGUUCAAACCAUUUUGGACAAUUUGGGUUCAGCAAAGAAAAUCCAUCUAAUCGAUCUCUCGAUCAAGCACGGACUGCAAUGGACAAUCCUGAUGCAAGCCUUGUCGAACUCGAGUUCGGUCGAUUAUGUCAAGAUCAGUGCUGUUGGGACUUCAGAGGAGGAGAUCACUUCGACCGGUAAGCGCUUAACAAGUUUUGCUGAGAUCCUAAAGUUACCAUUUGUGUUCAAACCGGUAAUAGUUUCGGACAUCAAGGAACUCAAGGAAGAUAUGUUUAAGAUAGAAGAGACAGAAACAAUUGCCUUAUACUCUUCAAUGGACAUGAACACCAUGAUCAUAAAGCCUGAUAGGCUCGAGAACGUAAUGAAGGUGAUAAGGAACCUGAGACCGCAAAUUGUGACGGUUGUGGACGUGGAGGCGAAGCAUAAUUCGCGAUCGUUCAUUAACCGGUUCACCGAAGCAUUGUUUUACUUCAGCGCGUUCUUCGACUGCUUAGAGAAUUGUAUGAGAGGGGACGAGAGAGUGAGGAUGAUAGUAGAAGAGGACUUCUUCUCGCCGGGAAUUAGUAGUAUUGUUGCAGCUGAGGGGAGUGAGAGAGUGAUUAGGCAAGUAGGGAUUGAUGUGUGGAGGUUGUUCUUUGCUAGGUAUGGGCUUGUGGAGGCUGAGCUUAAUCAGUGGUCAGUGUAUCAGGCUAGCUUGUUGGUAAAGCACUUUGCCUGUGGGGAGUCAUACAGCUUUGAGGUGAAUGGGAAAGCACUUCUUGUUGGGUGGAAGGGGACUCCAUUGCAUUUUAUUUCUGCUUGGAAGUUCCAAUAAGCUACUCCAAUUUUACAGCCAGGAUUUUCUUUCCCUUUCCUUUUCUUUUCUUUUUUUCUUCAUCUUUGCUGGAAUAUGAAAUUAAUGUCUUGAAAUAGAAUUCUUGUGAUGUUCUUUUAUAUACCUGAACUCUGCAACUCAAGUUUACCAGUUUCUCGAGAUUUAUUUGCAGUAAUUGGACAAUGAAUCCACAGAUGUUAUGUUUUAUUACUGUUGUUGUUGUUAUUACUAUUAUUAUUAUUAUUAUUAUUAUUAUUAUUAAAUGUGAUUUCAUCUAAUUAUAUUACAAUGGUUGCUCCUUACUCUCUAUUGUGGCAAAAAGCUUCAUUUGAUUAUAAAAAUCUAGAGUGAGUAUGUACAUAGUUUUCAUUGCAUGCUUCUGGGAUGAAAAUUUUGGUAGUCAUGUGCUUUUCAGAAAAGAAAAAAAAUAAUUCAGAGAUGUGCAUUUGUCGCAUUUAGAAUCGAAAUCAGAAUGACAUUUUCGACGGUUAAAAGCAAAAGUCUCCAUCUUUGAAACUGUUUUUAGCUUUUUAUUAUAGAAAGUCAUAGGUCCCAUAGAAUUUUUUUUCCCCAAUAUUUAAAAGAUUAUUUAUGGACCUAAAAUAAGUUAUUUGAGUUAAUGAGUUAUUUACUCAUAUAAUUUAUUUGUAUUUUUUUUUCAAAAAAAAAAAAGCGAUCCACAAAGCACAUUUACCAGAAACUUUAGAUGGGCCCGAAAGGCCCAUAUAGUUUGGGCCGAAUGUAUUAAAUCUUGCCGGCCCAGCCCAGCGCACCCUCCGAGUACUACUCUGAAGACAUCAUCUCAGCCGUUGAUUUAUCUGCAAUUUGCAUCUCUAGCCGUUCAUCACCUCUAUCUAAUCACAACACACCAAAACGGGAGACGCGUUUGGUUCGGCUAUAAGUUAAAACUACUUAUUUCAGAGAUAAGUACAAAUUCAGGUAUAAAUAGAAAUUAUAUCAAUUUUACGUUUGGAUGAAAAUUAGGUUAUUUCUGAGAAUAAGAUAAAUAGUAUUUAGAUUAUUAGAUUAGAACAUUAGGAAUAAGUGUUAUAAUUUUAAAUUAAAAUUAUUUUAUUUAAUUAAUUAACAUCAAAAUAUUAAAAUAAUUUAAUAAAUUAAUAAAUUUAUUAGCUAUGAUAUUGUGUAAGAUAAUGAAAAUAUAAAAAUAAUUUAACUUUUUAAUUAGUUAGUUAAUUAUUUUAAUUAGAUAACUAGUAAAAAAAAAUAAUUAGGUUAAUAAAAAUAUUAAUGGUUGAUCAAUAUAAAUAUUAGUUUAUAAAUAAAUAUAUUAAAUUAUUAAUAAUUAAUUAGCUAAUUAAUUAUAAAUAAUAAAAUAAUUAAUUACUUUAUUAUUUAAGUAAUAAAUAAUAAUUUAAAUAUACUGUCUAAACGCCUAAUACAAAAAGCCCCUCACGUGCAACUCACGUGCCGAACUCUCUCGAACCGAUUUCCGUAAUUUCCUGCACCACAGAGGUUUUCUUUUAAUUUUUUUUUUUUUAAAUUACAGUUUCCUCUGCUUUGUGCUUGCGCCCCGGGACAAAUCGCGAAGGAGUAAAAAAAAAAAAGGAAAAGCGCUUCGCUUCCGAGCAUCAGGUCGAUUUUUCCAUUUCCCGAUCCAUAUUAUUAUAUUUUUUCUCCUAAUAUUUAUUUUUUAAAUCCAAUUUCCUCUAUUCUUUUUCCACUGCUUCUAUUUUUUGCAAUUUUUUUAAUAAUUUUUUGUUGUUGUUCUAUUCGGGUGAUUCGGUGUGGCUAACUCUCUUAAAUCUCGUACUGCAUCUCCACUAUUUUUGUUGUAUUUUUUUUGUUCAAAAUUUUAUUUGCCUUUUUGAUAAUGUUGUAGUUCUUAGGAUCGUAGAUCUGAACGUGUUUAAUCGAUUGGGAUUGAAUUAAUUGCGUUCGAUCGAUUGGGAUAUACGUGAGGCAAGGUAUAGUAAUCUUAUUACUCGGAAUAUUGUUUUUGUAUUUAUGGAUUUUUUGUUAAAUGUAGAAGCACUAGUUAUAUGCAGAGAUGCUACCUUUUCCUCGCAAACACACACAAAAGAGAGAGAGAGAAGAGUAUUGAGACCCUCUUAAAUAGGUCAUUUAGAAAUAGGCCCUUGAACUAUAUUUUCUUUGAUCAGAGCUGCUAAGUUUUUAUGUUUUGAUUUAUUAUUCGAGUUAUCUGAGUUCAUUGGAAUCACUGUAUCCAUUGAAUUUCACGGCACUAACUACUUUUCAGAUAAAGGAAUUAUGGAUUGCGUUACUAAAUAAUAACCAAUAGCUUGUGAAGCCAUUAAUUUUAAUAAAAUUUGUAAAUAAUUCGAACCAAAACAAGUGAAAAUUGAGGGGACGAGUUCAGGGUUAUAUCGUAUUUGGACAUGUCGAUAAGAGCUAUGUUGUUUGGGUAUGGAAAUGGAGUCUUUUGUAGUCUGAGAAGAACAUAUCAGAGUUAAAUGCAAUGUUCAUUUGGUGAUUUUCUUGUUGUUGUUCAUAAAAGAGGAUAUUCUUCUAAAGAUCACAAAGUGCAUUUCCUAACUUGUUAUUUUUAAAUGUCGUUAAUGGUAAAAUUUUAUGCCCUUGUCAUAGUUAGAUGUUUGUGAGCGUUAACUCACUUUAUGUAAAGUAGAAUCAUUCAUUUCAUUUAAUCAACUGACAUAACCAAUAAAAAUUAUUUUUGAUUCAUAGAGUAUUUAUAUGAAAGAGUUUUUUGUAGGAAAAAAGUUUUUUUUUUCUUUCUUGGAACUUAUGUAUUACAUGGAAGGGGUGAGGAAUAAAAUUGAUGUUGAGUGUUGCUUCGGUUAAUAUAUUCAGUGUAUACUCACAGAGUUCUUUUAGAUGCAGCUAUAUGUUUUUCUUCUUUGUUUCCUUUUCUUUUUUAUCAGUGCCUUAUUGGCAGGGUCUGCGAUAGAUCAGAACUAGUUGCCUUGCUAUCAUGUAUUGGAGAUGAUGAGGUGGUAAACUACUAACUUCAUCCCCUUAACUUGGUGAUUUGCGACUUGGUAAUCAGCUUAUGUAGACGGGAAAAUUUUGUUGCCGACAUCAGACAAUCAAAUAUUUUGUCUGACAUGCAUGAAGGCAGUUAUUACCAGAAAUGCGUCAUGCAUGUAAGGAUUACAGAAACUAAAUGUGAUACAUUUUAUGGUGCUAUCUCUUCUUUCCUGUGUGCUGGACAAAGGGCCUUUCGGAGGCAUUGGAAUCUUGGCCCGAGCGAAGGUCUGCAGACGCUUGUUAAAACUGUGGAUCUCAGUCCCAUAUGGAAGUGUUUGUGGAGCACUUCAAAGUUCAAACUGUUUAAUUCGGUGUGUUUGCGUAUAGUUUAUUUAUACAUCAGAUUGGGUAUAUACAAAGCAAUCAACAUGCCAAUGGGCCUUGAAGCAGUAGGUAUCAAUUUUAGGCUUGUGAAACAGCUGUAAGGCUAGCUAAGAUAGCACUUGCUUAGAAAAUCAUGCGGCUUAAUAUGUAUCCACUUUCAGAAUGAGAAUCCAGGGGCUAAACAUCUUGGUUAAACAAUUCCGUUUGUAGGUUAGAUGAGAGAUGAAUUCAUUCAGAAUAUGCAUAACUGGAUAUCCGUUGCCUGAAUAUUUAAGAUAUUAGUACUUUGUGGUUAGAUAAUUCGAUUUUACUUAAUUUCUGCUGUAUGAACCAUUUAUGUGUCAGCGGGGUUUGAUGAAUGGUUGCUCGUAUUACCUACUAUAACCUAAACCCAAGCGAUCCCUCAUAAUUUAUUGCAUAUAAACCUGUUGAUCUGACCCUCUACCUCUGAUAAAUUAUCUAUCUUGUUCAUUAUUUUUCGUUGUGUUUUGCCAUAUUUUAGGUGGAAAAGAAGGAUCUAAUGGCCGCACACAAGAUUGCUCAUGCCACCCUGAAGGGGCCCAGCGUCGUGAAGGAGAUCUGCAUCGGACUAACGCUAGGGCUUUUCGCAGGCAGCCUGUGGAAGAUGCAUCACUGGAACGAACAGAGGAAGACGAGGGCUUUCUAUGAUAUGCUGGAAAAGGGCGAGAUCAGUGUCGUUGUUGCCGAAGAAUAAAAUAAUUCUUUCUUCUAUGUGACAUUCUCCCUGUUUAGAAUCCAUGCAAGGGUCAGUUGGAAUUUCAUCAGUUUGUAAUAAGCUUAGACAUUUUCACGUGCACAAAUUGCUCAUUUUUCAUUGAUGAUUCGCUCGUUGUAUGUAGUUCUAUCAAUGCAUAAUUUUUGGAAUGUGGGCUUGUUUUGGUUUUAAACUUGUGAAGAAGAGAAUCGGGUGAAUCAUUCAAUUGUUAUAGAGUUUCUACUUAAAUUCAUUUACGAAGUUUUUCAUGUUAAAAAAAUUUUGUGCAUGGUUUCUGCUAUCAACAUCCAAAACAUGUUGGUUAUCUAUGGACCUCAUAAUCCGAAAAAAAUUACGUUGUAGUCGUGCUAGAUCAAAGCUCGUUUUUAAGCUCAAAUUAAUGGUGUUUCCUUACAAAAGAUGGCAUGAUUAUUUAUUUGCAAUAAGACUAAAAAGAUCCUUUUGUAGCCAAAAGCUCAAAAGAGUUAAUGUCUCUUUUAUGGAAAAGGCCAUCAAUUAAAAAUUUAUUUCGUGAUCAAAUAAAUGAUAAAGAUCACCUGUGAUAUCUUACUUUGUGGCCUUAGCCUAGAUUCGAGCCAAUCACUUGUUGGACCCAUUCAUGCAUUUCUCAUAUUUUUGUGAGCCUACCCAAAGCUUCCUUUUUAAUUUCCUAGUGAAACAGAGAUGCCCAUGCAAAACACCUCUUUUGCAUUUAAGGAAAAAGGUGAAACAAAAGCCAAUUCUCAUAAUCUUAUAUAAUAACUAUGUUAAUUUUUUAUUAGAGUUAACCCUUUUUCGACAUUUGGAAUUAAGACCUGGGACUAAAAUGCAUCUUUAACUUUCUAGUCAUGCAUGGAUUCCUUGUCUCUUUUUUGGGUAACAAAGCUUUGUUUCACCACUACUUAUUCUCUAAUUAAUAAGCAAUUUUUAUGCACACCACCAUUAAUGGAGGUGGAAAAGGCUAAGCAAAUCACUAUGUCAUUUAACAUCUAGUUCAAAUAAUUAAAAUCUAUUAUGUCGUAUAAUUAAUUAACUUCCUCAUAUGAAAAUAAAAUGGCGAAUAAAGUCAUAUAUUUGAAGGAAAAGAACUUCAGUAAAAAACUUUCCAAAGGCGUCUAAAACUGAAUGAACUAUUAUACUUAAAAAAGAUCUAAGCACCUAGUUUAAGAGCUAAUUUUACACUUAAUCCAAAUUCUAAUUAAAAAGUUAUUUUUGUAAGUACGAAGGGCGCACUAUAAAUAUUAGUAGGUACUCUAAUUGAAAUUAGCAAAUAUUUGAGAGCAUCAAAAAGUUUCAUUUUACGAUAAGGUAGCCUAUAGUUUUCGGAACUUGUAGACCUAAUACCUUUUUAUAUCUUACUUAUUCUCUUAUGAUAACAUAAAAAAAAUUAAACAAUGCAUAAACUUCACUUUCGUAUCUUCAUCAACUCCUAAUUUAUUAAUUUUUUUUUUUGCAAUCACACUAAGCUUGCUUUAAUUUAAUAAUAAUGCAUGCACUUUAAAGUUCCCAGAAGAGAGAGAGAGAGAGAGAGAGAGAGAGAGAGAGAGAGAGAGAGAGAGAGAGAGAGGGGGGGGAGAGACCAAAUGAUAAGUGUUGUGAUUCAAUGAAAACCAAAAGAUUGGUAUUGAACAAAAAUAAAUAAAUAAAUAAAUAAUAAAAUGAGACACGUCAAAAAGAGAAUCCGAGAUAUGUGUGUCGCCUAUAAACAGUAUAGUCAAGAGGGGAGGCACACGCACGUGUGAACAGUACUUAACCACAUUGGUCUCGACCCGGCGCACGAAUCUCGAGGCAAGCUGUGAUCUUCACUCUUUUUAUAGCUUAACUAGUGGAGUUACCCGUGCAUUGCGACGGGCUAAUAUUAUAGAAGAUAAAAAAUUGACAAAAUUAAAAUUUUAAAAUUUUUUAACUUAGAUAUAUACAAAUGUGGCAAAAGUUAUAACAACAAAUAAAUUAUAUAUAACAAUAAUAAAAGUUACAACAGUAAAUAGAUAUAUAUAUUUUUUUAACGAUUUGUUUAGAUAAAAAUAAAUCAUAUAAAUAUAUUAAUUAGAAAGUGGGCGGAUGGGAAGACGAAACAUUAAAUAGAGAUGAGAUGGGAAGGCGAAGCAUCAAAGAGUGUGGAGAGGGGGUGAAGGAGGAAUUGCCAUGUGGCAAUUUCCAUGAGAAAUAAUGUAUAGGAAUAGAUUACUUAAUUGAUGUAUUUAUUUAUUUUCUUGUGUUUUUAUUUUUAUUCUUGUUAUAUUUUAAUUUACGAUUAAUUUCAUACAAAUCUCUAUAAAUAUAGUAAAAUAUAAAUAUAUUUCUAUAAAAUUUAAUUUUUAUAUAUUAUUUUUAUAAAAAUCAUGUUUCUAUCGUUACAAUCCGUUAGAAAAUUUUAGUUAUCUAUGAGUUAAAUACUGAAUUCUUAUUAGUUUAUAAAAUAACUUGAUAUAUUUGUCUCUCUUAUAUUAUACUCUUUGAGUUUCGGAGAGACAUAUUUAUAAUGACAAAAUUAAUAUUUCAUGUAAAAUAUAAGCAGUUCAAUAACAGUAAUAAAUCAGAAGAAUAUAUUUAAAAAUAUUCAUAAUUUUUAUAAAGAUAAUAUAUAAAAGUUGAAGUUUAUAGUAAUAUAUUUGUAAUUUACUGUGUGUUUACUGAGACAUGUAUGUAUUUAACCCUUCAAUUUAUGUAAGAUUAGUGCAUGUUCUCUGGUUGUACGGAGGGGGCAAGAGUCCACUGGAGUUGUUAGAAGCAUGUUGCAGCACAACUUGGAGAGACAAAAAAAAUACAAAUAUAAGACACAAAUAGGAGCCUAAUAAACAAUUUUGGCACUAUCAUGUGAAUUAAUUUAACUCAACCCGAAUAUAUCGGCUUGACCGCAUGGGACCCAACAAAGACACUAAUUAAAAAAAAUUCUUAAUAAAUUAUCUAUAGAAUGAUUGUUUUAGUUAUUUUUUUCUAAAUUAAAAAAAAUGAUAAAGCAGCUGGUGCAAGCGAUCUUUUGAUUAAAAUAUAUGAGCAUAAGGUUGGUCUAACUAUAUUUCUUUGAAAAUUCAAGUACAAUAUAUAGUUCAAAUCAAAAUUUACAAGCUACAUGAGCUGUAUAUAAAAAAUAAUCAUUUUUUUAAUGAGCCUAAAAAUUGUUUUUUGUUUCUACCUCUAUGAUUUCGAUCUUUUAUGGUAAAAAAGCUUCUUUUUAUAUGAAUAUGCAUAAUUAAAAUAUAAAAAAUGCUGAGCCUACAAUCAAAAAAAGUUGUAAUAUUUACAAUCACUAAUUUAAUAGUUUUAAAAGUUUAACCAAUCUUUUUUUUUAUUUUUAGUCAAAAAAUAAUAAUAAAACUAGUAUAGUAUAAUAAAAUUAUAAAAUUAUAAUGUAAAUUGGAUCGUAAAUCUAACAUUAUUAUUAAAAUACAUACGAGUAACCAAGUCAUUUUAUCGAAAAAGUUUUAUGUAGUGUACAAAAAGUCGGUUGAGUACCUGCAUUGAUUAUGAACCCAAAAACCAAGUACAUGAAGCACUGCAUUAAUGCCUCUCUCUCUCUCUCUCUCUCUCUCUCAUCUCGUCUCAUAUAAUAUAUUAUAUAUAUAUAUUAUAUAUAUAUAAGUGAGGCUUACAUGCUAUCGAAGCACGGAGCCUCCGUGCUUCCAAGCUCGUUUUCGAUGUUGCGACUUUCGAUCGUCGAUCGGACUCGUUAACUUGAUCUAUAGUAUUUGGAGUACCUAGAAAAUAAAUUUUAUUAUUUUCGAUAUCAUUUGCUAGUGAUCGAAUGGGCUCAAAUCAACCAAUUUAUAUAUAUAUAUAUAGAGUGAGGCUACUAAUGCUAUCGGAAGCACGGAGUUUUCCGUGUCCAACUCGUUUUCGGAGUGUUGCGACUUUCGAAUCGUCGAUCGGCUCCGUUAAACUUGAUCUAUAGUAUUUGGAGUACCUAGAAAAUAAAUUUUAUUAUUUUUCGAUAUCAUUUCCCUAGUGAUCGAAUGGGCUCCAAAUCAACGAUUGACUCUGUUAGACUUGAUCUAUAUUAUUGAAAGUAUUUGAAAAUCAAAUUUUAUAAUUUUUCGUCAUCAUUUACCUAUCAAACGAGUGCUCUAAAAAUAAAUGGUGGAAAAUAAAAAUCUCAUAAAAAAUAUUGAUAAAAAAUUUAAAUUUAAAAUCAGAGGUACUAAUCUUAUUCUAAAUAAUAAAAAAAAAUUUGAUAAAAAGUUUAUUAAAUUUGGAUUGUUUUACACCGUUAAUUCACAAACGUAUCACAUCGGCCAUUAAAAUUGUCAUUUUUGAGACCUUUUGAUCACUAGUCAAAUAAUAUCGAAAAAUUAUAAAAUUUAGUUUUCAAAUAUUUUCAAUAGUAUAGAUUAAGUUUAACGGAGCCGAUUAUUGAUUUGAAAGUCGUAUCAUAAAAAACAACUUGAUAGCACGGAGGCCUCGUGCUACCGAUAGUAUACCAGCCUUGUUCUAUAUAUAGAGAGAGAGAGUGAGUAGGUCUACUAUGAUCUUAUGAGUAUAGUCAUUCGUACUCAUAAAUUAUUUUCGAUGAUGAAACUUUCAAAUCAAUUAUCAAUUCCGUUAAAUAUGAUCUAAAAUAUUUAAAACCUUUAAAAAAUAAAUUUCGUAAUUUUUCGAAAUCAUAAUAAAAAUCUAUCAAACGAGCAUAAAAUGAACGAUAAAAAACGAACAAUGUUCUAAAAAUGAAUGAUUAGAUAUUUCAAUUUCAAAUCGAAAUUAUUAAUCUUUAUCUAAGUAGUGAAUAGGAUUUUCUAUAAAAAAUUCAACUCAUUCUAAUUCUUUUGCACCGUUAAACUAGCAAAUAUUUUAUACCGGCCGUUAAAAAUUGUCAAUUGUGUAACAUUUUGAUUGUAAGGUAAAUGGUAUCGAAAAAUUAUGAAAUUUGAUUUUUAUAAGUUUUAAAUGGUCUAAAUAAUGUUUAACGGUAUGAAUCGUCGAUUCACAAGCUCUAUCAUUAAAAAUGACUUAUGAGUACGAGAGCAAUCGUACUUAUAAGAGUAUAAUAGCAGGACUCUUUCUCUCUAUAUUCUCUCUCUCUAUAUAGAGAGAAAGAGUCCGGCUACUAUACUAUCAAUAAUAUUGAAUUCUUGAUACUAUCAAAUUUUCUGCCGGUAGAUCUACCAUUUAAUCAUUUUUAUCUGCUAGAUUAUACUAUUCAACUAACCACCCACUCAAUUCUAGAAAAUCACUAUCAUUCUAACCACACAUCCUUUCAUUCAACGGUCGAAAAUUCGAUAACCCAAAGCGUUUGGUACUAUCAAUAGUGUAGUAGCAUAAUUCAUAUAUAUAUAUAUAUANAAAUAUUUACCAUCUUACAUUAUAUAUAUAUAUAUAUAUAUAUAUAUAUAUAUAUAUAUAAAAUUAGGUUGGAAUACUAUCAAUAACAUCAAGUUAUUGGUGCUAUUAGUUUUUAACCCUUGAAUUGAGAAAUGUGCGGUUAUGAUGAUGUGGGCCCAUUAGAUUGAGCGGGUAGUUAGUUGAAUAGUAUAAUCUAAUGGGUAAAAAAAAAAAAUAGUGGAUUAAAUCUAAUUAAUAGUGAAAAAUUUGAUAGCAUCAAACUCGUAGUGCUAUCGAUAGUAUCUCAGCCGGACUCUCUCUCUCUCU
Molecule: long non-coding RNA, 38196 nt
Filed under: Ananas comosus (pineapple)
Lineage: Eukaryota; Viridiplantae; Streptophyta; Magnoliopsida; Poales; Bromeliaceae
Description: long non-coding RNA (ACOM_LNC006502)
Source: RNAcentral